RNAcentral lists this ribosomal RNA (253 nucleotides) under uncultured bacterium. RNAcentral's name for it is "partial 16S ribosomal RNA". It matches the Rfam family "Bacterial small subunit ribosomal RNA", at positions 524 to 776 of the family's 1533-position model. The record is from RNAcentral.
UACAGAGGUCCCAAGCGUUGUCCGGAAUUAUUGGGCGUAAAGGGCUCGUAGGCGGUCCAUCGCGUCGGGAGUGAAAAGCUGGGGCUUAACCCCAGUCCUGCUUCCGAUACGGGUGGACUAGAGGUAGGUAGGGGAGAACGGAAUUCCUGGUGUAGCGGUGAAAUGCGCAGAUAUCAGGAGGAACACCGGUGGCGAAGGCGGUUCUCUGGGCCUUACCUGACGCUGAGGAGCGAAAGCAUGGGGAGCAAACAGG